Molecule: small nuclear RNA, 20 nt
Filed under: Arabidopsis thaliana (thale cress)
Lineage: Eukaryota; Viridiplantae; Streptophyta; Magnoliopsida; Brassicales; Brassicaceae
Description: snRNA_10294
Source: RNAcentral
AAGGCUCGCUUCGGCGGGUC